GUGAGGAAUAUUCCGCAAUGGGGGAAACCCUGACGGAGCAAUGGCGCGUGCAGGAUGAAGGCCCUCGGGUCGUAAACUGCUUUUAUAUGAGAAGAAUAUGACGGUAACAUAUGAAUAAGGGACGGCUAACUACGUGCCAGCAGCCGCGGUCAUACGUAGGUCCCAAGCGUUAUCCGGAGUGACUGGGCGUAAAGAGUUGCGUAGGCGGCUCGUUAAGCGUGAAAUGAAAUUUAUCGGCUCAACCGGUAAACUAUUUCGCGAACUGACGGGCUCGAGAGUAUGAGAAGUUACUGGAAUUUCUAGUGUAGCAGCGAAAUGCGUAGAUAUUAGAAAGAACACCAACGGCGUAGGCAGGUAACUGGCAUACAUCUGACGCUGAGGCACGAAAGCGUGGGGAGCGAACCGGAUUAGAAACCCGAGUAGUCC
RNAcentral lists this ribosomal RNA (426 nucleotides) under uncultured bacterium. Its description in RNAcentral is "partial 16S ribosomal RNA". It matches the Rfam family "Bacterial small subunit ribosomal RNA", at positions 354 to 796 of the family's 1533-position model. The record is from RNAcentral.